AUGAACGCUGGCUACAGGCUUAACACCUGCAAGUCGAGGGGAAACGACGGGGAAGCUUGCUUCCCCGGGCGUCGACCGGCGCACGGGUGAGUAACGCGUAUCCAACCUGCCUCUGACUGAGGGAUAACCCGUCGAAAGUCGGCCUAAUACCUCAUGGCAUCGUCUGCGGGCAUCCAACGACGAUUAAAGAUUUCAUCGGUCAGAGAUGGGGAUGCGUCUGAUUAGCUUGUUGGCGGGGUAACGGCCCACCAAGGCGACGAUCAGUAGGGGUUCUGAGAGGAAGGUCCCCCACAUUGGAACUGAGACACGGUCCAAACUCCUACGGGAGGCAGCAGUGAGGAAUAUUGGUCAAUGGGCGAGAGCCUGAACCAGCCAAGUAGCGUGCAGGAGGACGGCCCUAUGGGUUGUAAACUGCUUUUAUGCGGGGAUAAAGUGAGGGACGUGUCCUUCAUUGCAGGUACCGCAUGAAUAAGGACCGGCUAAUUCCGUG
Molecule: ribosomal RNA, 490 nt
Filed under: uncultured bacterium
Lineage: Bacteria
Description: partial 16S ribosomal RNA
Rfam family: Bacterial small subunit ribosomal RNA
Source: RNAcentral